UUGUUUAUGGCAAGAUAUAAGAAAUUAAAAAGCACGUUUAAGCAAAGGUUGUCUGAGAAAGAGCAUUUGCAUUUCCCUCCUCCAUGCUAGUAGCUUGGCUUGGGACUGGUUGGCGAAGAAUCCAAUUUCUCUUCCUAUUGUAUGCAUUACGUUGAGAAAGAGUGUUUCAGAUCCCGAACCGUAUCGUACUAUAGUUAUAGGUAGUAGCGUUAGCGUGAUUGAUCAGUGAUCACUAUCAGAUCAGAAUUGUGAUCGUGGAUCGAAGCAAGCAAUGUUCAAAUUCUUGAAAGAGGUGGUGAGUGGAUCUGGAACCGGCCUCAAAGAUCUACCAUACAAUACCGGUGAACCUUACGCUUCUGCUUGGGGCUCUUGGCUUCAUUUUCGCGGCACAUCCAAGGAUGACGGUUCUCCUGUGCCAAUAUUUUCUCUGUCUGGGAGCAAAGCUCAGGAUGGGCAUUUAGCUGCGGGGCGUAAUGGCGUUAAAAGUCUUCGCACUGUUAGGCAUCCGAAUAUUUUGUCGUUUCUUCACAGCACCGAGAUCGAAACCGUCGACGCUGGUUCUCCCAAGGUUACAAUUUAUAUGGUGACCGAGCCGGUGAUGCCGCCGUUGGACAAGAUUAAGGAGUUGAGUCUUGAAGGUACACAAAGGGAUGAAUAUUAUGCUUGGGGCCUGCAUCAAAUAGCAAAAGCUGUGAGCUUCUUAAAUAACGAUUGUAAACUUGUUCAUGGUAAUGUUUGCUUGGCUAGUGUUGUUGUCACACAAGCAUUGGACUGGAAACUCCAUGCUUUUGAUGUUCUAUCAGAGUUUGAUGGGAGUAAUGAAGCUUCUUCUGGGCAAAUGCUGCUGUAGAUACUCCUUCAACAGCACCUGUUGGUGUAAGCUCAACACCAGAUUUUGCUGAACACCCUGUCCCUACAUCCCCAACGUCAACAGAUGGCUGGGGGGAACUAGAGAAUGGACUCGACGAGGAGCGUGAAAAUGACAAGGAUGGGUGGGAUGAUCUGGAACCACUUGAAGAAAUAAAACCAGCUCCAGCUCUUGCAAAAAUUCAAGCAGCUCAAAGGAGGCCAGUUCCUCAACCUGAUUCGCAGCUAAAAACAAGCCUCAAGUUUGCGAUCCAAAAGUACACCAAAGUUGAGCAAGGAUGAAGAUGGUGAUUUGUGGGGUUCCAUAGCAGCUCCUGCUCCAAAAACAUCAAAACGUUUUAUUGAACAAGUGGUCUCAAUAACUUAAAAAAGGAUAGACUUAGAAUGCAGAAGAAAAAGACGAAACAAUCAAUUUAAUAAUGUUCUUUUAAAUGGGUAAGAUAAAAUUGAUUGUAAUAAAAUAAAUGAGACAAGGGAAGAGAGAAAUGCAAACUUGAUUUAGACUGGUUCGGUCACUUUCUGUGCCCACGUUUAGUCCUCAAGCAACUCACUUGAGAUUUUCACUAAUUUUGUAUAAAAUCUUUUUACAACUUUUGAACACCCAAGGAAUCCCUUUCCCUUGCGUUC
RNA transcript from Glycine soja, 1494 nucleotides. It is a transcript of the gene named N-terminal kinase-like protein, with no coding region annotated. The record is from RefSeq and is a predicted model, not a curated record. NCBI's taxonomy places the organism in Eukaryota, Viridiplantae, Streptophyta, Magnoliopsida, Fabales, Fabaceae. The transcript has 7 exons.